AUUGAACGCUGGCGGCAUGCUAACACAUGCAAGUCGAACGGUAACAGGUCUAGCUUGCUAGAUGCUGACGAGUGGCGGACGGGUGAGUAACGCGUGGGAAUCUGCCUUCUAGUGGGGGAUAGCCCGGAGAAAUCCGGAUUAAUACCGCAUACGCCCUACGGGGAAAGCCGGGGAUCUUCGGACCUGGCGCUAGUAGAUGAGCCCGCGUGAGAUUAGCUUGUUGGUGGGGUAAUGGCCUACCAAGGCAACGAUCUCUAGCUGGUCUGAGAGGACGAUCAGCCACACUGGGACUGAGACACGGCCCAGACUCCUACGGGAGGCAGCAGUGGGGAAUUUUGCGCAAUGGGGGCAACCCUGACGCAGCAACGCCGCGUGAGUGAAGAAGGCCUUUGGGUCGUAAAGCUCUGUCAACUGGGAAGAAGUUACUAUUGUUUAAUAAAUGGUAGUAUUGACGGUACCAGUGGAGGAAGCGCCGGCUAACUCCGUGCCAGCAG
RNAcentral lists this ribosomal RNA (494 nucleotides) under uncultured bacterium. Its description in RNAcentral is "bacterial SSU rRNA". It matches the Rfam family "Bacterial small subunit ribosomal RNA", at positions 30 to 514 of the family's 1533-position model. The record is from RNAcentral.